Long non-coding RNA from Gadus macrocephalus (Pacific cod), 1469 nucleotides. RefSeq lists it as uncharacterized. The record is from RefSeq and is a predicted model, not a curated record. Lineage: Eukaryota; Metazoa; Chordata; Actinopteri; Gadiformes; Gadidae. The transcript has 2 exons.
CCGCACAGAGCGCGCGCAUUUACCAAAGUGAUGCACAAACAAACAUGGCAUCGAGUCGGGAAGAUUAUGUUCCUAAGAAAGGCACGGUGUCAUCCGUUAUUUGGAAUUGGUUUGCGUUCGCGAGGUCAGAUUUUGAGCAGACAACACCCCGCUGCAAAGUCUGUUCGAAGUCUGUUGCUAGCAAAGGCAGCAGUACGACAAAUUUACUGCAGCACCUCAGGCAAAAACAUCCCGCCGAAUGGGAGAAAUGUUGCGCGCAGCGGAAUGAGGGAGACCGCGGCACCACAAGCAACACACGCACAGCUACUAAAAUACAGACCACCGUCACACAAACCUUUGCCAACUGCAUCCCAUAUGAGAAGAAUUCGGCCCGCUGGAAAGCCAUAACUGAUGCGAUCGCUAUGUAUAUAGCAAAGGAUAUGGUCCCAAUGUAUACAGUGGAAAAGCCAGGUUUCAUAAAUAUGCAAAAAGUUUUGGACCCCAAGUAUGUGCUACCACGCCGAAAAUUUUUCUCCGACGUUGCCUUGCCCCAACUAUAUAAUAGCACGAGACAACGGAUCGCAAAGGAGUUGGAAGAGGUGUCCUUUUUUUCUGCCACCACAGAUUUAUGGUCAAGUCGGACGAUGCAACCAUACAUGAGUCUUACUGUGCACUUUAUCACUAACGAUUGGACUCUGCGAAGCAUCUGCCUUCAAACGGCAUACUUUCCAGAGGACCACACAGGUGAAAUAAUAGCCCAGGGGCUAAGAGAUGCCCUAAAUUCAUGGAACCUUGCCAAGACCGACUCAUUUGCAUGACAACUGAUAGCGGCAGCAACAUGAUCAAAGCUCUGAAGGACAAUGCGUGGCCCAACCUCCAGUGCUUUGGACACAGAUUGCACAAUGCUAUCGAGAAUGGUGUGAAGGACCCACGGAUAGUUCGUGCUAUCGGGGUAUGCAAAAAGGCUGUCUCUGCCUUUUCUUACAGCUGGAAAAAAAGAAGAGACAUGACUGAAGUACAGGCAGAGCUUGGUCUACCCACUCAUCAGCUGAUAACGGAGUCCCCGACCAGAUGGGGUUCACGCCAAAGGAUGAUAGAGAGAUUUCUCGAACAAGAGAAGGCUGUAGUCCGUGUCCUGGGUUCGGACAAGAAAAGUCGCCAUCUUGUGCCCACUUGGCAAGAUCUGGAUGUGUUGGAGUCAACAAAUAAAGCAGUAAAAUCCCUCCAGGAAUUCACUGAUGCACUCUCCGGGGAGUCUUAUGUCAGUGUUUCCUACAUUAAACCAGUGCUCCAUCUGUUCAAAACCAGUCUCCUACAGCCAGAGGAGGAAGACACAGAGCUCACGAAAACAAUAAAAGGAAAUAUCAUGCAGUACCUUGACGAGAAAUACAGCGACCCUGUAAAAGAUGAAAUCUUGGACAUGUGCUCACUGGUUGACCCAAGGUUCCGCACAACCUACAUUGACCCAGACAAUGUGGAACAGGUCAAAA